GGGUUGUGAGGUUAAGCGACUAAGCGUACACGGUGGAUGCCCUGGCAGUCAGAGGCGAUGAAGGACGUGCUAAUCUGCGAUAAGCGUCGGUAAGGUGAUAUGAACCGUUAUAACCGGCGAUUUCCGAAUGGGGAAACCCAGUGUGAUUCGUCACACUAUCAUUAACUGAAUCCAUAGGUUAAUGAGGCGAACCGGGGGAACUGAAACAUCUAAGUACCCCGAGGAAAAGAAAUCAACCGAGAUUCCCCCAGUAGCGGCGAGCGAACGGGGAGGAGCCCAGAGCCUGAAUCAGUGUGUGUGUUAGUGGAAGCGUCUGGAAAGGCGCGCGAUACAGGGUGACAGCCCCGUACACAAAAAUGCACAUACUGUGAGCUCGAUGAGUAGGGCGGGACACGUGGUAUCCUGUCUGAAUAUGGGGGGACCAUCCUCCAAGGCUAAAUACUCCUGACUGACCGAUAGUGAACCAGUACCGUGAGGGAAAGGCGAAAAGAACCCCGGCGAGGGGAGUGAAAAAGAACCUGAAACCGUGUACGUACAAGCAGUGGGAGCCUCUUUUAUGGGGUGACUGCGUACCUUUUGUAUAAUGGGUCAGCGACUUAUAUUCUGUAGCAAGGUUAACCGAAUAGGGGAGCCGAAGGGAAACCGAGUCUUAACUGGGCGUUAAGUUGCAGGGUAUAGACCCGAAACCCGGUGAUCUAGCCAUGGGCAGGUUGAAGGUUGGGUAACACUAACUGGAGGACCGAACCGACUAAUGUUGAAAAAUUAGCGGAUGACUUGUGGCUGGGGGUGAAAGGCCAAUCAAACCGGGAGAUAGCUGGUUCUCCCCGAAAGCUAUUUAGGUAGCGCCUCGUGAAUUCAUCUCCGGGGGUAGAGCACUGUUUCGGCAAGGGGGUCAUCCCGACUUACCAACCCGAUGCAAACUGCGAAUACCGGAGAAUGUUAUCACGGGAGACACACGGCGGGUGCUAACGUCCGUCGUGAAGAGGGAAACAACCCAGACCGCCAGCUAAGGUCCCAAAGUCAUGGUUAAGUGGGAAACGAUGUGGGAAGGCCCAGACAGCCAGGAUGUUGGCUUAGAAGCAGCCAUCAUUUAAAGAAAGCGUAAUAGCUCACUGGUCGAGUCGGCCUGCGCGGAAGAUGUAACGGGGCUAAACCAUGCACCGAAGCUGCGGCAGCGACGCUUAUGCGUUGUUGGGUAGGGGAGCGUUCUGUAAGCCUGUGAAGGUGUGCUGUGAGGCAUGCUGGAGGUAUCAGAAGUGCGAAUGCUGACAUAAGUAACGAUAAAGCGGGUGAAAAGCCCGCUCGCCGGAAGACCAAGGGUUCCUGUCCAACGUUAAUCGGGGCAGGGUGAGUCGACCCCUAAGGCGAGGCCGAAAGGCGUAGUCGAUGGGAAACAGGUUAAUAUUCCUGUACUUGGUGUUACUGCGAAGGGGGGACGGAGAAGGCUAUGUUGGCCGGGCGACGGUUGUCCCGGUUUAAGCGUGUAGGCUGGUUUUCCAGGCAAAUCCGGAAAAUCAAGGCUGAGGCGUGAUGACGAGGCACUACGGUGCUGAAGCAACAAAUGCCCUGCUUCCAGGAAAAGCCUCUAAGCAUCAGGUAACAUCAAAUCGUACCCCAAACCGACACAGGUGGUCAGGUAGAGAAUACCAAGGCGCUUGAGAGAACUCGGGUGAAGGAACUAGGCAAAAUGGUGCCGUAACUUCGGGAGAAGGCACGCUGAUAUGUAGGUGAAGUCCCUCGCGGAUGGAGCUGAAAUCAGUCGAAGAUACCAGCUGGCUGCAACUGUUUAUUAAAAACACAGCACUGUGCAAACACGAAAGUGGACGUAUACGGUGUGACGCCUGCCCGGUGCCGGAAGGUUAAUUGAUGGGGUCAGCGCAAGCGAAGCUCUUGAUCGAAGCCCCGGUAAACGGCGGCCGUAACUAUAACGGUCCUAAGGUAGCGAAAUUCCUUGUCGGGUAAGUUCCGACCUGCACGAAUGGCGUAAUGAUGGCCAGGCUGUCUCCACCCGAGACUCAGUGAAAUUGAACUCGCUGUGAAGAUGCAGUGUACCCGCGGCAAGACGGAAAGACCCCGUGAACCUUUACUAUAGCUUGACACUGAACAUUGAGCCUUGAUGUGUAGGAUAGGUGGGAGGCUUAGAAGUGUGGACGCCAGUCUGCAUGGAGCCGACCUUGAAAUACCACCCUUUAAUGUUUGAUGUUCUAACGUUGACCCGUGAUCCGGGUUGCGGACAGUGUCUGGUGGGUAGUUUGACUGGGGCGGUCUCCUCCUAAAGAGUAACGGAGGAGCACGAAGGUUGGCUAAUCCUGGUCGGACAUCAGGAGGUUAGUGCAAUGGCAUAAGCCAGCUUGACUGCGAGCGUGACGGCGCGAGCAGGUGCGAAAGCAGGUCAUAGUGAUCCGGUGGUUCUGAAUGGAAGGGCCAUCGCUCAACGGAUAAAAGGUACUCCGGGGAUAACAGGCUGAUACCGCCCAAGAGUUCAUAUCGACGGCGGUGUUUGGCACCUCGAUGUCGGCUCAUCACAUCCUGGGGCUGAAGUAGGUCCCAAGGGUAUGGCUGUUCGCCAUUUAAAGUGGUACGCGAGCUGGGUUUAGAACGUCGUGAGACAGUUCGGUCCCUAUCUGCCGUGGGCGCUGGAGAACUGAGGGGGGCUGCUCCUAGUACGAGAGGACCGGAGUGGACGCAUCACUGGUGUUCGGGUUGUCAUGCCAAUGGCACUGCCCGGUAGCUAAAUGCGGAAGAGAUAAGUGCUGAAAGCAUCUAAGCACGAAACUUGCCCCGAGAUGAGUUCUCCCUGACCCUUUAAGGGUCCUGAAGGAACGUUGAAGACGACGACGUUGAUAGGCCGGGUGUGUAAGCGCAGCGAUGCGUUGAGCUAACCGGUACUAAUGAACCGUGAGGCUUAACCUUACAACGCCGAAG
RNAcentral lists this ribosomal RNA (2925 nucleotides) under Escherichia coli. RNAcentral's name for it is "23S ribosomal RNA". It matches the Rfam family "Bacterial large subunit ribosomal RNA". Lineage: Bacteria; Pseudomonadati; Pseudomonadota; Gammaproteobacteria; Enterobacterales; Enterobacteriaceae. The record is from RNAcentral.